This is a long non-coding RNA of Bos taurus (domestic cattle), 2227 nucleotides long. The record is from Ensembl. Lineage: Eukaryota; Metazoa; Chordata; Mammalia; Artiodactyla; Bovidae.
GUUGUUCCCAAGGACGUAAGCUUGAGUAUUGCCUUGUUCGCCAGGAGUGGUAGCUGGGAGGCAAGAGGAAACCCCCAACUGCGCUAUGUCUGAAUGAACAUUACGGGAGGAUUUUCCUGUGAUUAAAUGCUCCGACGGUCUGAGACAGAAUUAUCAGAAAGGCCCAGGUGAGGAGGACCUUUAGGGUAGCCUCUCCCAGGAGGUGAUGUUUGUGCAGAAGCGUGAAUGAUGUAUGGCAAGAGAUCGAGGUCAGAAGGAGUUCGAGGGGAGCCCAAGGCAUGGGAUGCACAGCAAGGGUCCUGUCUGAGACUUCUUACACCUGUGCUGCGUUCUGAUCACCACCAUCAUCACCACCACCGAGCACCGACUCUGUGCUGGGCCCUGGGCUAACGCUUUCAUUUCCAGAUGACCCUGUGCGCAGGAUAGAAUUUCCAGAAGUCAAGUAAGUUACCCAGGCAUCCUCAGCUGGUCAGUGAAGACGCCAAGAUUCGAAGGCCACCUCUGGACUCUGACUCUGGAGGUCGCACCGUCAAACCACAACUGCACCACAUCUUUACAACUUCAGCUAAGCUGGGUCUGCAACAGCCUGCUCCCGGACUAGACAGCCCAGCCCACUCCACUUCCUAACUCAGGCUCCUAGACCCUGAACCUGAGGGCCUGUCAUGAUGCCAGAGGUCUCCAGUCCCCUGGGUCCCUCCCAUCAGCCAGCUUUGCUCUAUCCUGGCCCCUCCCUGCCUCUUCUGACUGGGGCAGUGGCUUGGGAAAACCCAGAGCAUCCAGGAUCUCCAGUGGGAACGGCCCCCAUCCUGCCCGGGCUCAAUAGCCCCGCCCUGCUCCCUCCCUCUCCCUCCAAGCCCUUCUGUACUAAGACUGUGUGACCUUGCAGCCAUCCCGUCUGGCCUGCUAUCAGCUCCUUCCACAAGAGGGUUUUUUUUUUUUUUUUUUUUUGAUGUCAUUAGAACUCUGUCUCCUCAAUUCUCCCUUGUCUGCAUUUUCCUUUCUAGUCUGCUUGGAUGACAUUAUUUCUAUCAUCCUCUUGCUCACUGGGCAAGAGGAGAAGGGGAUGACAGAGGAGAUGGUUGGAUGGCAUCACGGACUCAAUCGCCAUGAGUCUGAGCAAACUCCAGGAGACAGUGAAGGACGGAGGAACCUGGCGUGCUGCAGUCCAUGGGGUCGCAGAGAAUCAGACAUGACUGAGCGACUGCACAACAACUUUCUCACUGUAAAUUCUCUUACCACUUUGCCCUUUUGCUGCUCCUGCUGGGCCAAACCCCAGCCCCAGAUGGCUGUGGGGCAGAAUCGCUCCAACAAAGGGUCCGGUGUUUCCCUGUGGUGCGUUUCCUUCCCCCUCUCCCGCUUGUGCUCAAAAUCCCCUUCCAUCCCUCACUCGCAAGGCUGUUUUCCAUUUCCCCAGAGAUGGAGGGAAGAGAGACCGCAGCGACCAAAGGAGGACCAUGGGGUGGGCGGGGUUGAAGGGGAGGAAAGAGACUGCAGUGCUCACUGGUGCUCAGCAGUACUCCAUCGUGAACCUCCCUUGCCCUCACAAGGCCUUGGCUGACCUGUAGACACCCUCUGCUGGCCCACUGAGGCAGGGAGCUUGGCUGCCCUACAGUGCUGGACUCAGGAGAACAGACCACGAAGAUCAGGAGUCAGCGUUGGGCACGUAGAAGGCUAGGUCCCUGAAGACAUCCAGGAGGAGAUGAGAAGGCCAGUGGAUAGACUGAUCUGGAAUCUGGGAGAAUGAUCUUGGUAAACGACUUAACUUGAGAACAAAGUCUAGGUUAUGGGAUCAAAUGUGACCACUCAGGAAAUAUGUAUGAAGGAGAAGAGAGGCCGGAAAUGGAGCUUUGAGAAAUACCACACCUACAGGAUAGGGGUGCUGGUGGUAAAGAAUCUGUCUGCUAAUGAAGGAGACACAGGAGACGCACGAGUUGAGGGUUUGAUCCCUGGGUCGGGAAGAUCCCCUGGAGGAGGAAAUGGCAACCACUCCAGUAUUCUUGCCUGGGAAAUUCCAUGGACAGAGGAGCCUGGCAGUCUGCAGUCCAUGGGGUUGCAAAGAGUUGCACACGACUGAGCACACUCACACUCACACACACACACACAUACAGGAUAGUCAUUGGAAGAAGAGCUUUUCUGAGUUUUCCUGUCUGUAAAGUGGAUAUGAUGAUGCAAGUUGCUGUAAAGAUAUAAUAAACACUUAAUAUGUCACUUAAUAUAUAACACUUAA